RNAcentral lists this ribosomal RNA (253 nucleotides) under uncultured bacterium. RNAcentral's name for it is "partial 16S ribosomal RNA". It matches the Rfam family "Bacterial small subunit ribosomal RNA", at positions 524 to 776 of the family's 1533-position model. The record is from RNAcentral.
UACGGAGGAUCCAAGCGUUAUCCGGAAUCAUUGGGUUUAAAGGGUCCGUAGGUGGGUCUUUAAGUCAGUGGUGAAAGCCGACAGCUCAACUGUCGAACUGCCAUUGAUACUGUAGGUCUUGAAUUCGGUCGAAGUGGGCGGAAUGUGUCAUGUAGCGGUGAAAUGCAUAGAUAUUACACAGAAUACCGAUUGCGAAGGCAGUCUACUACGUAUGUACUGACGCUGAGGGACGAAAGCGUGGGGAGCGAACAGG